This 857-nucleotide long non-coding RNA is filed under the name Equus caballus (horse). RNAcentral's name for it is "lncRNA (ENSECAG00000042791.2)". The record is from RNAcentral. Lineage: Eukaryota; Metazoa; Chordata; Mammalia; Perissodactyla; Equidae.
CUCCAACCUCAUUUAAAGGCUCACCUGAUUAAGUCAGGCCUGCCCAGGAUAAUUUCCUGCUUGAUUAACUCAAUAUCAAGUAAUUAGAGACUUUAAUCUGUAAAACCCCUUCUGCCAUAUAAAGUAACUUAAUCAUGGGGGAACUAUCCCAUCAUAUUCAGGUACAGGGGAAAUGGAAAACAGUUUGAUGUUUUUCUGAAUUCAUGGAGUUAUCACUGACCUUCUGUCUUCUUAAAAUCUCUACAGAGACUGUGGGUCACUGACCCUCAUGAAUACUCACACCACUCAGGACUUUGGGAUUUGGAGAAAGGCGGCUGUGCCAGGUCAUCUGGUUAGAAGCGCCCUGCUUUGUGCUCCAGUGGCCUCCUGUACUUCCUCAAUCAUAUACACUCACACCUUAGUGCUGCUGCUUGACGGACUUCUGUGCUGGAGACGUGUUGUGUAUAUGAGUUAAACAUAUCAAGCUAAUAUAUCGUGGUGGACAGAAUAACGAAGAGUGCAGACCAUGGAGCCAGGUAGCCUGAGUUUGAGAAUCUUGGUUCCACCACUUACUAGCUGCAUGGCUUUUGGCAAUGGUGGCUGGCCUCUCUGAUUUUCCUGGGAGUGUUGCCUUGGCUACGAGAAGCUGAGAGCUCAAGGUGAGCCUGGAUCUGCACCUGCAGCAGCAAUAUUUCCAGCAUAUGCUUCAGCAUCAACCUUUACUGUGGAGUGCUGGGGCCAAGAGAGGCAGAAGUCCGGUGGAGAUUUGGAUCUGGGUCCCCAAACUACCAUUUUAUUCCCAAUAGUCAAAGAUCUAAGAGUGUUUUCAAUAGGCUAUUGUGAUUAACAUCAAUUAAAAGAAAAAGAAACUAUUUCUC